GGGGAAUUGUUCGCAAUGGGCGCAAGCCUGACGACGCAACGCCGCGUGGAGGAUGAAGAUCUUCGGGUCGUAAACUCCUGUCGAGCGGGACGAACACUUAUCCGGUUAAUACCUGGAUAGGCUGACGGUACCGCUAAAGGAAGCCCCGGCUAACUCUGUGCCAGCAGCCGCGGUAAGACAGAGGGUGCAAACGUUGUUCGGAAUUACUGGGCGUAAAGCGAGUGUAGGCGGUUUGGUAAGUCGGAUGUGAAAGCCCCGGGCUCAACCCGGGAAGUGCACUCGAUACUGCCAAGCUAGAGUAUCGGAGAGGUUGGUGGAAUUCUCGGUGUAGAGGUGAAAUUCGUAGAUAUCGAGAGGAACACCGGUGGCGAAGGCGGCCAACUGGACGAAUACUGACGCUGAGACUCGAAAGCGUGGGGAGCAAAC
This 426-nucleotide ribosomal RNA is filed under the name uncultured bacterium. RNAcentral describes it as "bacterial SSU rRNA". It matches the Rfam family "Bacterial small subunit ribosomal RNA", at positions 356 to 773 of the family's 1533-position model. The record is from RNAcentral.